GAUGAAGAACGCAGCGAAAUGCGAUAAGUAAUGUGAAUUGCAGAAUUCAGUGAAUCAUCGAAUCUUUGAACGCACAUUGCGCCCCUUGGUAUUCCGAGGGGCAUGCCUGUUCGAGCGUCAUUAUAACCCCUCAAGCUCAGCUUGGUGUUGGGGCCUGCCGCACGGGCAGCCCUUAAAAUCAGUGGCGGUGCUAUCUGGCUCUAAGCGUAGUAAUUCUUCUCGCUAUAGAGUCCCGGUGGAUGCUUGCCAUUAACCCCCAAUUUUCUAUGGUUGACCUCGGAUCAGGUAGGGAUACCCGCUGAACUUAAGCAUAUCAAUAAUCGGAGGA
RNAcentral lists this unclassified non-coding RNA (328 nucleotides) under soil metagenome. RNAcentral's name for it is "partial contains 5.8S ribosomal RNA, internal transcribed spacer 2, and large subunit ribosomal RNA". The stretch from base 1 to 120 matches the Rfam family "5.8S ribosomal RNA", at positions 35 to 154 of the family's 154-position model. The record is from RNAcentral.